Molecule: ribosomal RNA, 741 nt
Filed under: uncultured bacterium
Lineage: Bacteria
Description: bacterial SSU rRNA
Rfam family: Bacterial small subunit ribosomal RNA
Source: RNAcentral
AGAGUUUGAUCCUGGCUCAGAACGAACGCUGGCGGCAGGCUUAACACAUGCAAGUCGAACGCACCUUUCGGGGUGAGUGGCAGACGGGUGAGUAACGCGUGGGAACGUGCCCUUCAGUUCGGAAUAACCCAGGGAAACUUGGGCUAAUACCGGAUACGUGCGAGAGCAGAAAGAUUUAUCGCUGAAGGAUCGGCCCGCGUCUGAUUAGCUAGUUGGUGAGGUAAUGGCUCACCAAGGCGACGAUCAGUAGCUGGUCUGAGAGGAUGAUCAGCCACAUUGGGACUGAGACACGGCCCAAACUCCUACGGGAGGCAGCAGUGGGGAAUAUUGGACAAUGGGCGCAAGCCUGAUCCAGCCAUGCCGCGUGAGUGAUGAAGGCCUUAGGGUUGUAAAGCUCUUUCGUCCGGGACGAUAAUGACGGUACCGGAAGAAGAAGCCCCGGCUAACUUCGUGCCAGCAGCCGCGGUAAUACGAAGGGGGCUAGCGUUGUUCGGAAUCACUGGGCGUAAAGGGCGCGUAGGCGGCUUUAUAAGUCGGGGGUGAAAGCCUGUGGCUCAACCACAGAAUUGCCUUCGAUACUGUAGAGCUUGAGACCGGAAGAGGUAAGUGGAACUGCGAGUGUAGAGGUGAAAUUCGUAGAUAUUCGCAAGAACACCAGUGGCGAAGGCGGCUUACUGGUCCGGUUCUGNNGCUGAGGCGCGAAAGCGUGGGGAGCAAACAGGAUUAGAUCCCUAGUAGUCC